Molecule: ribosomal RNA, 912 nt
Filed under: Exophiala dermatitidis
Lineage: Eukaryota; Fungi; Ascomycota; Eurotiomycetes; Chaetothyriales; Herpotrichiellaceae
Description: LSU rRNA
Rfam family: Eukaryotic large subunit ribosomal RNA
Source: RNAcentral
AAGCAUAUCAAUAAGCGGAGGAAAAGAAACCAACAGGGAUUGCCUCAGUAACGGCGAGUGAAGCGGCAACAGCUCAAAUUUGAAAUCUGGCCUCUUUGGGGUCCGAGUUGUAAUUUGUAGAGGAUGUUUCGGGCACCGCUCCGGUUUAAAUUUCUUGGAACAGAAUGUCAAAGAGGGUGAGAACCCCGUCUUGGACCGGCAGUAGGGCCCAUGUGAAACUCCUUCGACGAGUCGAGUUGUUUGGGAAUGCAGCUCAAAAUGGGUGGUAAAUUUCAUCUAAAGCUAAAUAUUGGCCAGAGACCGAUAGCGCACAAGUAGAGUGAUCGAAAGAUGAAAAGCACUUUGAAAAGAGAGUUAAACAGUACGUGAAAUUGUUGAAAGGGAAGCGCUUGCAACCAGACUUGCGCGCGGCGGUUCCCCCUUCCUUUUGGUUGGGUUAUUCCGCCGUGUCCAGGCCAACAUCGGUUCUGGGGGUCGGUUAAAGGCCUGGGGAAUGUAUCUACCCUUCGGGCGUAGACUUAUAGCCCCGGGUGUCAUGCGACCUCCCGGGACCGAGGAACGCGCUUCGGCUCGGAUGUUGGCGUAAUGGUUGUCAGCGACCCGUCUUGAAACACGGACCAAGGAGUCUAACAUCUAUGCGAGUGUUUGGGUGUCAAACCCGGAACGCGGAAUGAAAGUGAACGGAGGUAGGAAGCUUCGGCUGCACUAUCGACCGAUCCUGAUGUCUUCGGAUGGAUUUGAGUAAGAGCAUAGCUGUUGGGACCCGAAAGAUGGUGAACUAUGCCUGAAUAGGGUGAAGCCAGAGGAAACUCUGGUGGAGGCUCGCAGCGGUUCUGACGUGCAAAUCGAUCGUCAAAUUUGGGUAUAGGGGCGAAAGACUAAUCGAACCAUCUGGUAGCUGGUUCCUGCCGA